RNAcentral lists this transfer RNA (116 nucleotides) under Xylaria arbuscula. It matches the Rfam family "tRNA". Rfam says of the family: Transfer RNA (tRNA) molecules are approximately 80 nucleotides in length. Their secondary structure includes four short double-helical elements and three loops (D, anti-codon, and T loops). Further hydrogen bonds mediate the characteristic L-shaped molecular structure. tRNAs have two regions of fundamental functional importance: the anti-codon, which is responsible for specific mRNA codon recognition, and the 3' end, to which the tRNAs corresponding amino acid is attached (by aminoacyl-tRNA synthetases). tRNAs cope with the degeneracy of the genetic code in two manners: having more than one tRNA (with a specific anti-codon) for a particular amino acid; and 'wobble' base-pairing, i.e. permitting non-standard base-pairing at the 3rd anti-codon position. The record is from Rfam by way of RNAcentral. Lineage: Eukaryota; Fungi; Ascomycota; Sordariomycetes; Xylariales; Xylariaceae.
GGACCUGUGUCGCAGCGGUUAGCGUAUUGCUCUUAUACUUGCUUGCGUGCCUUGAGCAUGUGUAGCUUGUGUGAUAGGAAAUGCAAAGGUCGUGAGUUCGAUCCUCACCUGGUCCA